RNAcentral lists this ribosomal RNA (502 nucleotides) under uncultured bacterium. Its description in RNAcentral is "partial 16S ribosomal RNA". It matches the Rfam family "Bacterial small subunit ribosomal RNA", at positions 30 to 523 of the family's 1533-position model. The record is from RNAcentral.
AUUGAACGCUGGCGGCAGGCUUAACACAUGCAAGUCGAGCGGGGUGAUGGUGCUUGCACUAUCACUUAGCGGCGGACGGGUGAGUAAUGCUUAGGAAUCUGCCUAUUAGUGGGGGACAACAUCUCGAAAGGGAUGCUAAUACCGCAUACGUCCUACGGGAGAAAGCAGGGGAUCACUUGUGACCUUGCGCUAAUAGAUGAGCCUAAGUCGGAUUAGCUAGUUGGUGGGGUAAAGGCCUACCAAGGCGACGAUCUGUAGCGGGUCUGAGAGGAUGAUCCGCCACACUGGGACUGAGACACGGCCCAGACUCCUACGGGAGGCAGCAGUGGGGAAUAUUGCACAAUGGGGGAAACCCUGAUGCAGCCACGCCGCGUGUGUGAAGAAGGCCUUCGGGUUGUAAAGCACUUUCAGCGAGGAGGAAAGGUUGAUGCCUAAUACGCAUCAACUGUGACGUUACUCGCAGAAGAAGCACCGGCUAACUCCGUGCCAGCCGCCGCGGUAA